RNAcentral lists this unclassified non-coding RNA (419 nucleotides) under Celmisia tomentella. RNAcentral's name for it is "partial external transcribed spacer". The record is from RNAcentral. Lineage: Eukaryota; Viridiplantae; Streptophyta; Magnoliopsida; Asterales; Asteraceae.
GUGGUGUUUGGUUUGAUACGGGUGGUCGGCUCCCUGCUUGAGCAGGCACGGCCUCGCGUACAUUCCUUUUCAGUUGUGCGACAARGCUUGUAUCGCCUUGAUCGUAUAUGUGGGUUUCCUGUGUUGCAUACCUGAUCAAAGGAAUCGUCUAGAUCAAAAAAGUCCCUUUUUCGUCAAGCGUUGCYCUUGUGACGUCGGACGAACCAAAUAGCACCUUCUUUGAUCCAUCCCGUUGAUGUGCAUUCGUCGAUGGUUUGGCCCAUUGAGGGUUGCUUGGUSUCUCGGAUGUGGAAGCAAAAGUUGGCGUGGGGUCGUAUGAUCCUUUUAUUGCCCUCGUUGAGCGUUCUCGCUUCUCUAAAACGACUGCCUUUCACGUAUGGCACGUCCCAGCGUGUUUGGCUAACGUCRAAGAGGAAUGC